UAGGAUGUGGUGGGAACUUGAAACCUGA
This 28-nucleotide non-coding RNA is filed under the name Mus musculus (house mouse). The record is from RNAcentral. Lineage: Eukaryota; Metazoa; Chordata; Mammalia; Rodentia; Muridae.